AAGUCGAACGCUUUGUGGUUCAACUGAUUUGAAGAGCUUGCUCAGAUAUGACGAUGGACAUUGCAAAGAGUGGCGAACGGGUGAGUAACACGUGGGAAACCUACCUCUUAGCAGGGGAUAACAUUUGGAAACAGAUGCUAAUACCGUAUAACAAUGACAACCGCAUGGUUGUUAUUUAAAAGAUGGUUCUGCUAUCACUAAGAGAUGGUCCCGCGGUGCAUUAGCUAGUUGGUAAGGUAAUGGCUUACCAAGGCGAUGAUGCAUAGCCGAGUUGAGAGACUGAUCGGCCACAAUGGGACUGAGACACGGCCCAUACUCCUACGGGAGGCAGCAGUAGGGAAUCUUCCACAAUGGGCGAAAGCCUGAUGGAGCAACGCCGCGUGUGUGAUGAAGGGUUUCGGCUCGUAAAACACUGUUGUAAGAGAAGAAUGACAUUGAGAGUAACUGUUCAAUGUGUGACGGUAUCUUACCAGAAAGGAACGGCUAAAUACGUGCCAGCAGCCGCGGUAAUACGUAUGUUCCAAGCGUUAUCCGGAUUUAUUGGGCGUAAAGCGAGCGCAGACGGUUAUUUAAGUCUGAAGUGAAAGCCCUCAGCUCAACUGAGGAAUUGCUUUGGAAACUGGAUGACUUGAGUGCAGUAGAGGAAAGUGGAACUCCAUGUGUAGCGGUGAAAUGCGUAGAUAUAUGGAAGAACACCAGUGGCGAAGGCGGCUUUCUGGACUGUAACUGACGUUGAGGCUCGAAAGUGUGGGUAGCAAACAGGAUUAGAUACCCUGGUAGUCCACACCGUAAACGAUGAGUGCUAGGUGUUUGAGGGUUUCCGCCCUUAAGUGCCGCAGCUAACGCAUUAAGCACUCCGCCUGGGGAGUACGACCGCAAGGUUGAAACUCAAAGGAAUUGACGGGGACCCGCACAAGCGGUGGAGCAUGUGGUUUAAUUCGAAGCAACGCGAAGAACCUUACCAGGUCUUGACAUCCCUUGACAACUCCAGAGAUGGAGUGUUCCCUUCGGGGACAAGGUGACAGGUGGUGCAUGGUUGUCGUCAGCUCGUGUCGUGAGAUGUUGGGUUAAGUCCCGCAACGAGCGCAACCCUUAUUACUAGUUGCCAGCAUUCAGUUGGGCACUCUAGUGAGACUGCCGGUGACAAACCGGAGGAAGGUGGGGAUGACGUCAAAUCAUCAUGCCCCUUAUGACCUGGGCUACACACGUGCUACAAUGGCGUAUACAACGAGUUGCCAACCCGCGAGGGUGAGCUAAUCUCUUAAAGUACGUCUCAGUUCGGAUUGUAGGCUGCAACUCGCCUACAUGAAGUCGGAAUCGCUAGUAAUCGCGGAUCAGCACGCCGCGGUGAAUACGUUCCCGGGUCUUGUACACACCGCCCGUCACACCAUGAGAGUUUGUAACACCCAAAGCCGGUGGGGUAACCUUCGGGAGCCAGCCG
RNAcentral lists this ribosomal RNA (1441 nucleotides) under Weissella confusa. RNAcentral describes it as "bacterial SSU rRNA". It matches the Rfam family "Bacterial small subunit ribosomal RNA". The record is from RNAcentral. Lineage: Bacteria; Bacillati; Bacillota; Bacilli; Lactobacillales; Lactobacillaceae.